RNAcentral lists this ribosomal RNA (430 nucleotides) under Pseudomonadota bacterium. RNAcentral describes it as "Proteobacteria bacterium partial 16S ribosomal RNA". It matches the Rfam family "Bacterial small subunit ribosomal RNA", at positions 355 to 776 of the family's 1533-position model. Lineage: Bacteria; Pseudomonadati; Pseudomonadota. The record is from RNAcentral.
UGGGGAAUAUUGGACAAUGGGGGGAACCCUGAUCCAGCCAUGCCGCGUGUGUGAAGAAGGCCUUAUGGUUGUAAAGCACUUUAAGCGAGGAGGAGGGUACUGGUAUUAAUACUACCAGGUACUGGACGUUACUCGCAGAAUAAGCACCGGCUAACUCUGUGCCAGCAGCCGCGGUAAUACAGAGGGUGCGAGCGUUAAUCGGAUUUACUGGGCGUAAAGCGUGCGUAGGCGGCUAAUUGAGUCGGAUGUGAAAUCCCCGAGCUUAACUUGGGAAUUGCAUUCGAUACUGGUUAGCUAGAGUGUGGGAGAGGAUGGUAGAAUUCCAGGUGUAGCGGAGAAAUGCGUAGAGAUCUGGAGGAAUACCGAUGGCGAAGGCAGCCAUCUGGCCUAACACUGACGCUGAGGUACGAAAGCAGGGGGAGCAAACAGG